AUUGAACGCUGGCGGCAGGCUUAACACAUGCAAGUCGAACAAGUGGCGGACGGGUGAGUAAUGCAUGGGAAUCUAGCUUAUGGAGGGGGAUAACUACGGGAAACUGUAGCUAAUACCGCGUACCAUAGGCUGAGCCCCAGUGUGAUUAGGGAGUUGGUGAGGUAAAGGCUCACCAAGCCGACGAUCGCUAGCUGGUCUGAGAGGAUGACCUGCCACAUUGGGACUGGUAACCGGGCCCGGCUCCUCCGGGAGGCAGCAGUUGGGAAUCUUCCGCCAUGGACGAAAGUCUGACGGAGCAACGCCGCGGGAGUGAUGACGGCCUUCGGGUGGUAAAGCUCGUUAAGCGGGACGACGGUACCGGAAUAGAAAGCCACGGCUAACUACGUGCCAGCAGCCGCGGUAAUAC
This 406-nucleotide ribosomal RNA is filed under the name uncultured bacterium. RNAcentral's name for it is "partial 16S ribosomal RNA". It matches the Rfam family "Bacterial small subunit ribosomal RNA", at positions 30 to 526 of the family's 1533-position model. The record is from RNAcentral.